Molecule: ribosomal RNA, 2903 nt
Filed under: Klebsiella pneumoniae
Lineage: Bacteria; Pseudomonadati; Pseudomonadota; Gammaproteobacteria; Enterobacterales; Enterobacteriaceae
Description: bacterial LSU rRNA
Rfam family: Bacterial large subunit ribosomal RNA
Source: RNAcentral
UUAAGCGACUAAGCGUACACGGUGGAUGCCCUGGCAGUCAGAGGCGAUGAAGGACGUGCUAAUCUGCGAAAAGCGUCGGUAAGGUGAUAUGAACCGUUAUAACCGGCGAUGUCCGAAUGGGGAAACCCAGUGUGAUUCGUCACACUAUCGUUAACUGAAUACAUAGGUUAACGAGGCGAACCGGGGGAACUGAAACAUCUAAGUACCCCGAGGAAAAGAAAUCAACCGAGAUUCCCCCAGUAGCGGCGAGCGAACGGGGAGCAGCCCAGAGUCUGAAUCAGCUUGUGUGUUAGUGGAACGGUCUGGAAAGUCCGACGGUACAGGGUGAUAGUCCCGUACACCAAAAUGCACAGGCUGUGAACUCGAAGAGUAGGGCGGGACACGUGGUAUCCUGUCUGAAUAUGGGGGGACCAUCCUCCAAGGCUAAAUACUCCUGACUGACCGAUAGUGAACCAGUACCGUGAGGGAAAGGCGAAAAGAACCCCGGCGAGGGGAGUGAAAAAGAACCUGAAACCGUGUACGUACAAGCAGUGGGAGCACCUUCGGGUGUGACUGCGUACCUUUUGUAUAAUGGGUCAGCGACUUAUAUUCUGUAGCAAGGUUAACCGUAUAGGGGAGCCGCAGGGAAACCGAGUCUUAACUGGGCGUUAAGUUGCAGGGUAUAGACCCGAAACCCGGUGAUCUAGCCAUGGGCAGGUUGAAGGUUGGGUAACACUAACUGGAGGACCGAACCGACUAAUGUUGAAAAAUUAGCGGAUGACUUGUGGCUGGGGGUGAAAGGCCAAUCAAACCGGGAGAUAGCUGGUUCUCCCCGAAAGCUAUUUAGGUAGCGCCUCGUGAAUUCAUCUUCGGGGGUAGAGCACUGUUUCGGCUAGGGGGUCAUCCCGACUUACCAACCCGAUGCAAACUACGAAUACCGAAGAAUGUUAUCACGGGAGACACACGGCGGGUGCUAACGUCCGUCGUGAAGAGGGAAACAACCCAGACCGCCAGCUAAGGUCCCAAAGUCAUGGUUAAGUGGGAAACGAUGUGGGAAGGCACAGACAGCCAGGAUGUUGGCUUAGAAGCAGCCAUCAUUUAAAGAAAGCGUAAUAGCUCACUGGUCGAGUCGGCCUGCGCGGAAGAUGUAACGGGGCUAAACCAUGCACCGAAGCUGCGGCAGCGACACUAUGUGUUGUUGGGUAGGGGAGCGUUCUGUAAGCCUGCGAAGGUGACCUGUGAGGGUUGCUGGAGGUAUCAGAAGUGCGAAUGCUGACAUAAGUAACGAUAAAGCGGGUGAAAAGCCCGCUCGCCGGAAGACCAAGGGUUCCUGUCCAACGUUAAUCGGGGCAGGGUGAGUCGACCCCUAAGGCGAGGCCGAAAGGCGUAGUCGAUGGGAAACAGGUUAAUAUUCCUGUACUUGGUGUUACUGCGAAGGGGGGACGGAGAAGGCUAUGUUAGCCGGGCGACGGUUGUCCCGGUUUAAGCAUGUAGGCUGGUUUAUCCAGGCAAAUCCGGAUAAUCAAGGCUGAGGUGUGAUGACGAGGCACUACGGUGCUGAAGUAACAAAUGCCCUGCUUCCAGGAAAAGCCUCUAAGCAUCAGGUAACAUCAAAUCGUACCCCCAAACCGACACAGGUGGUCAGGUAGAGAAUACCAAGGCGCUUGAGAGAACUCGGGUGAAGGAACUAGGCAAAAUGGUGCCGUAACUUCGGGAGAAGGCACGCUGGUGUGUAGGUGAAGCCCCUGCGGGUGGAGCUGAGACCAGUCGAAGAUACCAGCUGGCUGCAACUGUUUAUUAAAAACACAGCACUGUGCAAACACGAAAGUGGACGUAUACGGUGUGACGCCUGCCCGGUGCCGGAAGGUUAAUUGAUGGGGUUAUCCGUAAGGAGAAGCUCUUGAUCGAAGCCCCCGGUAAACGGCGGCCGUAACUAUAACGGUCCUAAGGUAGCGAAAUUCCUUGUCGGGUAAGUUCCGACCUGCACGAAUGGCGUAAUGAUGGCCAGGCUGUCUCCACCCGAGACUCAGUGAAAUUGAACUCGCUGUGAAGAUGCAGUGUACCCGCGGCAAGACGGAAAGACCCCGUGAACCUUUACUAUAGCUUGACACUGAACAUUGAGCCUUGAUGUGUAGGAUAGGUGGGAGGCUUUGAAGCGUGGACGCCAGUCUGCGUGGAGCCAACCUUGAAAUACCACCCUUUAAUGUUUGAUGUUCUAACGUUGGCCCCUGACCGGGGUUGCGGACAGUGUCUGGUGGGUAGUUUGACUGGGGCGGUCUCCUCCCAAAGCGUAACGGAGGAGCACGAAGGUUAGCUAAUCCUGGUCGGACAUCAGGAGGUUAGUGCAAUGGCAUAAGCUAGCUUGACUGCGAGCGUGACGGCGCGAGCAGGUGCGAAAGCAGGUCAUAGUGAUCCGGUGGUUCUGAAUGGAAGGGCCAUCGCUCAACGGAUAAAAGGUACUCCGGGGAUAACAGGCUGAUACCGCCCAAGAGUUCAUAUCGACGGCGGUGUUUGGCACCUCGAUGUCGGCUCAUCACAUCCUGGGGCUGAAGUAGGUCCCAAGGGUAUGGCUGUUCGCCAUUUAAAGUGGUACGCGAGCUGGGUUUAGAACGUCGUGAGACAGUUCGGUCCCUAUCUGCCGUGGGCGCUGGAGAAUUGAGGGGGGCUGCUCCUAGUACGAGAGGACCGGAGUGGACGCAUCACUGGUGUUCGGGUUGUCAUGCCAAUGGCACUGCCCGGUAGCUAAAUGCGGAAGAGAUAAGUGCUGAAAGCAUCUAAGCACGAAACUUGCCCCGAGAUGAGUUCUCCCUGAGACUUUAAGUCUCCUGAAGGAACGUUGAAGACGAUGACGUUGAUAGGCCGGGUGUGUAAGCGCAGCGAUGCGUUGAGCUAACCGGUACUAAUGAACCGUGAGGCUUAACCUU